Anas platyrhynchos (mallard) is the source of this 5462-nucleotide long non-coding RNA. RefSeq lists it as uncharacterized. The record is from RefSeq and is a predicted model, not a curated record. Lineage: Eukaryota; Metazoa; Chordata; Aves; Anseriformes; Anatidae.
UCCCACUGAUGAGUCCUUUCAGGAUCGUGAAUGGAACAAUUGUCAAAAACUGCGGGAAAAAACAACAAGCCCUGAGACUCCUAGCCACAGACGCGGCUUGUGUGCGCGCAUGUGACAUUUGCAGGCAAGCCAGAUCUGGUCGUAAACUCUUGAGCGUUAUUCGAGAUAAAACCUUACAUUGCUUAUACGGUUAAAGAGGCUGCUUAUCCCCGAUCAAAAAACAAACAGCUUCGGAGGCAGGGAAAGCCAGGAAACGAGCAAGCUCUCCGCCAGACACACCUUGCCUUCCUCGGAUCCUACAGCACUGUCUACAACCAGCUGCGCUGUGCUCUCGCAACUGUCACUGCUUCGUUUUAAAAGAAGAAGAAGAAGAAGAGUAAUAAUAAUAAGUGAAAUACUUCCUGGAAACUUACUUCGCAUUUAGUUUAGGCACUAUUCUUUUUUUCAGCUCGCAAAGGAAGCCGUUUUGUCCAGGUCGAUUUGCAUGACCUCCGGCAAAGAGCUACGGCAGCAAGAAAUCCCAAGCCGAACGUUGCCACAAAGCGGCACACAUCGCCCCUUCUCCGGGUGCAGACAGAGCUCGCAGAUGAUGGACUGCCCCCCCCCCUCCUCCCUCGUGUAUCACGAAUUCGGGUGCGAUAUCAAUUUUAAAGUUUUCCGUAUAACUUUAUCCAAGCCCCCUGCUUGGAGAGAUAAGGCGCCGCCGCAGAAGCGCAGCUCCUCGGGACAGUGCCCCGCUGUGGCCGAACCCGGCAUCGCCGCCGGCGGGUCCCGGAGCUUUGUAGGGUUCCCCGCUCCGCGCACAGCACUCAUUUGUGGCCAACUUCAAAGCAGUCACCCACCUCGAACUUAACGGAGAAUUUAAAAGCACCACUAAGCUCCCUUCGCCUUGCUCCAGCCCGCGUCUUUCGGGGUGAGCCGCGAAGAGAAGCCCACGCCAACACUUGGGAGCAGUGACAGCAGCGCUCUGCUCUCAAAGAUUUAUUUCGGAUUUUAUUUUUCCUCUCUCUCUCUCUUUCUCCCUCUCGUGUUAGUUCCUUACGUACAAUAUCUUCCCAGCACCAUGUGUUCGCCUGCCGUGGGUGAUCUUAAAAUACAGCGCUGAUCUGUCACUACAUUUUAAAAUAAACUCUACUCGGGGAGGAUGAGAAAGUGUUGUGAUUUCGAGGCACUGAGGUCCCUUAAUGUCUCUGAAACCUCGGGAUUCAAACAGCCCCGGAAACUCUCCCGGGGACGAGACUACAACUACUUUUUCCUAAGGGGGAAAAAGAAAAAAAAUAAAGGGGGAAAAAAAAAACCUCGUGGUACAAAAGUAAAUAAUCGUGCAGGGGGAGGCGGGGGGAAGGGGUGAAUUCAGCAACGUUAAAAGCUAAACAACACAUCUACCUCCGGACGCUGCUCCUUUACUCAAUUGCAACUAACAACCCAUUAAAGACAGCGCAGGGGGAACCGGAUUCUCUCCUGCAAAGCGACAUAAAUCCAGCGAAAACCCAUUAAACCACCACCGCCGCCACCAAGCAACGCAGCACUACACACCACAGCAAACAACAGUGAAGGCGAUGGUUACUGCUGUCAAUCUUGGCAAUCAAUGUGAGCGGCCAUGUCGUAAGUAUUCAAAGCAUUUCCCGUCGUGCAACAUCAGAAAGUGAGUGGCCAGGGCAUUGAUCUGAGGAAGGCAAAAGGAGGCAGGGCUCCCCCGCCCAGACAGCACAGGCAAGAUGAGACAACACAGAGAGAGAGAGAGAGAGGGAGAGAGAGAGAGAGAGAGAGGGAAAGGCAGAGAGGGAGAGGGAGGCUCAGAGCGAGUGAGCGGGGAAAGCAACAACUGCAGAGAAAGUGAGCACAAAACAGAAAGUGAAAUCACCCCAGGCUGCCAGCCGCAUCCCCGAGAAGCUAUCACCACUCACAUUGCUAUUAGACAAAUGAAACCUAAAACCUCUCUCCUCUAAUGACCACUGAUUGCCCGGAGUGGUGAGGAAAGGUACCAGAAAGUUACCGGGCGGAGGGGGGGCGAAGGGCGGGGAGGGGGAGGCGGCCGGGGGCCGGAAGAGGGGGAGGGCGGCCGGGGGGGGCCGGGGGAGCCGCUGCGGGGCCGGGGCUGCGCGGGGCGAGCGGCGCGGAGCUCCCGGCGCGGCCCCCCCGGCGCCCCCCGGCCGGGCAGGGAGGCGGGCACACGCCGCCGAGCCUCCCGGAGGAGGAGAGGACGGACAGACGGCCGGACAGAAAGAAAAGAAGAAGAAGGGGGCGGGGGGGGGGGGGGGGGGAAGGAGGGGGGGGGCGAGCCGGUCCGCAGGACGCGGGCUGGGCCGGCGGGGACGCAGGAGGAAGGCGCUGGAGGAGCGCUGACUGACAGCUGCUGAGCGGGGCUCUGAGCAGCCCGCUCGGGGGAAAAAGCAGAUGAAACAGAGGGUGAAGCCCAGCCGAGGGGGGGGGCUGGCUCCGGGAGCACACGGGACGGGAGCACGGAGAAGCCCGCUCCCUCCGGGGAGGCGGCCCCGGGGCGGGGGAAGCCGGGCACGGGCACCCCCGGGCCGGGCACGGGCACGGCCGGAGCCGCAGCUGGGCGAGCUUGCAGCAGCGGCACCACGCACAUCUCGCUCCCUCUCCCUUAGCUAAAGGCAACAGACAGGGACGGGAACGCCAAUUUAGGAACUCACGCUCCUCUGGAAGUGCUAAUUGGGAGGGGGGGGGAAAUCCGGGAGAAAGACGGGGAAAACUCUGAGGAGAGAAUGAACCGAAGGCACGGAGUAAUGCAAAGCCCAGCAAGUCUCUCCCCUGUAUUUUUACAUGCCAAAGGUAAACAUAAAAGAGCCUUUCAAACUGGCAGGGGCCCGCAGAUCAGGUGGGCAAACAGCGCUGCAAAGCCAGCGUCUCCCUCUUUUGAUAUUAUUCACACCUAGGCUAAACUGUUGUUAAGAUGGGAGUGCGGAAAGCAACCUCAAGCCCACAAAAUGAGAGAGAGAGAGAAGUUGUUGAUUCAUCUCUGUAUUUUUGGCACUUUCUCCCCAUUUUCCAGAAGGCGCCUGGAACAGUUAGUAACAGAGAAACUUUUUAAUUUUAAAAUAGCUUCCUAACUUAUAGAGGCCAAAAAGACGAGGAGAAAGCCUCAUUUCGCUUUCCUCCUCUCUCAAGUAGAACUGUGCAGAAUAGGUUAGAGCCAGAGGUCUGCUCAGCCCUCCCGCAAAUGAACCUUGCUUUCUAAGGACGUGCUGAAAACCGAGCAGCAACGUGAUGGCACAGAACUGAUCUGCUCUGGCUCCGUUUCAUUUUGUUCCCCAGCUGUAAAACUCAAAGCACGACGAGAGUCGGGCACGCUGCAGCCUCUACCUUGCUACCCGCCGUACCAUCGUCCCUCUCUAGUCCAGUCCAGGGAAAAUAAGUUUUAAGUCAGAACCCCGUGGAAUAACGGACCUAGUUCAUAAAGUAUUUGUGGCGAUUCCGCUGCGGUAACAGGAGCAAUCGAGUCCUACCCGGCAAGCAACAAACACCUUGAAACAGAACUUGAAAUUUAUCUAGGAAGGCUUUACCGUCAAAUUAGCUGGCCGAGGGCAUAGCAGCUAAUUUCCAUGCAUUCUUUCAAUUUUAAUGAAAGAUGCUAAAAACCUGUAAUUCGGAGACAGGGUAAAUUGUUCGACUGCAGCUGCUGAGUGUGUAUUCACCUGCGUUCAGCUAAUUCAAACUAUUCAUCUUGCUGCAGUUAUCUAAGGUAUGGAUUUAACAACAGGAAGCAGCUUCCCUUCCAGAUAUCGCUACGUCCUUUUUAGUCUUUAAUUGUAAGAAUUCCUGCGAUAGGUCAGUAACACUUUCCUUGUAAUACAUUUCGACCUGCUGCAAGUAAAGGAAACAACCUGACUUUACGCAUAACUAGUGGCUUUGGCGCACAAAAAAAAUGAGUUCUGCAAGGAAGCAGAUGUAAGCAGAACACAAGGACGACCCGUCCUAUCCGAGUUCACUACCCCACCAAUUUAUUGCUGGAAGUGUUUUUCUUUCAAGAAAAACAAAGAAAAAAAAAAAAAAAAAAAAAAAAAAACCACCACCUACAUCCUCAAACGCAGCCUCCUCCUUCGAACAACUUAUAAAGUACGAGGCGGUAAUGGGACAAGAGAUAAUGAAGGCAUCCGAAAAAAAUUAACCGCCCACCUAGGUCCAAAUCAGAGGAGCAUCCCUCUGCACUCCCGAAAAUCCCGUGCAGGGAAUGACACUCAGCUGGGGCAGGACAGCGCAGGGAUGCGCCCGCAUUCCCAGGCGGAGCGCGAGUAAUACUCUCUAGCUUGUUGCUUCCCCUGUGUGAUCAAUUAAGUUCCAGAUGCAGCGCACACUGCCAGAGCGCUUCAACUUCUCCGCGGUAGAAAACGAGGACUCCGUGGGCAUUGUAUGCAAAUCUGCGUGUAUGUGCGCUGCACAGGAAUAAUUGCGUUUCCCUCUUUGUUUGCAUAAGGGAACAUCCGCCGUGCGGAUACGUACACACGUGCAGAGAAACAAGAAAACGCUUUUACUUCUAGCGUUGCCAUGCGCUUAGAGACUAGACUGCAUUUUAAGUUACUUCUCUAGCUUUUUCUUCAGGAAGGGUAAAGACAGCCAGAGCAGCCAGCGCGGGCAGAUGUUGGGGGCUGCUGGGCUGCUCUGGGUCCCCGCAGCGGGAAGGAAUCGGAGCCUCUCAGUUCACGUCGGGGCACUUACCUGGUCGCAGCUGUCAGCGCAUUUUGCGCCGUCUCUCUCAUUAAAUACACAAAAGUAAAGCGAUGUUCAACAAGCAAAGCAACCUGUCUGUGCGUUAAGUUUUACACAGCCCGUCUUUAAACAGAUGAACAAACCUACAACUCCUGUAGAGUUGGUGGAACAGUCUCUGAAGUUUUGAUUCAAAGAGCAAGAAAUUCCGCCUUAAAAGUCAUUCACACAAUUCUAAACUCCCCCCUCUCCCCAGUUAAUGCCGGGCAAUUAACAGGCACGUUUCAAAAUUCCCUCUCCUGACACUCCCCGACAAUGAAGACUUUUCACAGGCACGUUAAAGAUGUUCAGAGAAACUUUUGCAAAAUAAUCAACAGCAUCUGAGAGAAAGCUAAAGGAAAAGAAGUUAAAGCCUCAUCAUCCGAUUGGGAGAAAGUUUUGCUAGACAAGAUAAAAGCAGAUCACUGCACGUUUUUUCACAAGCAGCCCCAUCAGCUGAUGCGAGCUCCCCUAGAACCAGAACCUCUGGCGAUCUCCUCAAAAUUUAGGGGACGUUUGCAUUUUGUAACGCCCAAAGCUAAAGAUCUGACUGAAAACAAAAACCUCUGAAUUCUUUAGAGCGUCAUCUGCCAACACAGUGUAUUGUCCUGGCAGAAACAGGAUCAAGGAGACUUUAAUUUCAUUUGAAACUGUGCAUCAUCUUGACAGUAAAGCAAAAAGCCGCAGCAACAACCUCCCCAGUCCCCCCCUCCCCCGUUCCAAAAAAAUAAAAAAAAUAUAUUAAAAAAAAAAAA